Molecule: long non-coding RNA, 2676 nt
Organism: Corvus moneduloides (New Caledonian crow)
Lineage: Eukaryota; Metazoa; Chordata; Aves; Passeriformes; Corvidae
Source: Ensembl
GAAGUAAACCUGGAUAUCAGCAGUCAAGGUCGAGUGAGUGAGGGAUACUCUGCGACGGCGGCCUCGGAGUGCAGCCCCAGCGUGUGAGCCGAGGACCGGGGUGUUCUCAGGAGCCGUAGACUGAGAGAACAGCCCUCUGAGGGCAGGAACUUCCCAGAUGAUGAGGCAGCUUUCUUUUGCACCUGAUGAGGAUUUGCAUCCCUGGAUAUCCGAGAGCUAAAUGCAGAUGGAUUGAAUCUGUGGCAGAGCGCCCCAUACCAGGCAGUAAUGCUGAAUAUCAGUGGUCAAGGUCGAUGGAGCGAGGUGGUCCACUGGGCAGGUGUCCCGGCCCUGGGAUGCUGGAGGCCAGGUGCUGCUGCUGCCCUGGGCAUGCCAAGGGACAGAGGCGAGCAGGUAUUGUCCGGGCCACCUCCGGAGUCGGAUGGAGAUUUGAGGUGAGCCUGGGCCAGUGGUGCAGAGGGAGCCCGUGCAUUAUUCUUCUGGAGGGCAAUAGUCAUAGUUUCUGUUUUGUUGUCUUAAGUACCACAAGUAGGUGCAGAGCCUAAGUUUGGAAACGGCCGAUGCUGGGAUUGCCUCUGGGCACAUGUGCUGAGCUCUCCCUGCAGGGAACUGUCAGCCCUGAAUGCCUGUGCAAUAACUGCAGCUGCCCAGGCAGGCACAGGAAACUAUUCCACACAUGAAAUUGCCAUGACCCAAGGCCCUCCUGGAGAGAGUGUAGAGAGUUAGAGCACUGAUCCUGCUCCCUGCUUUCCCAGUAGUGCAUGAACAUGAUUUCAUCCUGUUCGUGAGAGCUCUAAGGACAAUAACCACUGAGGUGCCACUGAUGAUGCCACUUUUCUGAUGGGCCUGGCCCAGAACCAUAGCCCAGCAGGGUUCUGUGGGAGCAGUUCAGUUCCCCCUCCAUUCCUGCACUCUGGGCAGUUCUAGGAGACAUCUGAUCCAUUUCCUAGGCUGCCACCACAGCCUAAGCUCCCACCCCCACUGGGCCGUGAUGGCAUCAGCCCCCUCAGAGCCAGCCACCAGCUUUGGCCCUCGCGCCACUGCUGCACCUCAGGCCCGCCCAGGGGAGCUGAAAUAAAGCCUGGAACUCUCAAGGGUAAACUGGCAGCACAACCACAAACCUCCCUCACUUGAGAGUAAAGAGGUGUCCCUGUAUUUACACACAUCCAGGAACAGUACUGCUCUAGAGCAGUCUUGGAUUUACUUUUUUAUCAGUUGAACUGGCACAGCUGCCCCCUGAUGCCAUUAAAUUGUCCAUCCCCACAAUCCCUGGUUACCCUUGGCUGUGGGGUUUUUGCUGUCCCACAGUGAGUUAGGAGGGAUCUCUGGCCAGCCUCAUGGCCCAAGAGCAUUUGAAAUCCUAAUCCUCACUUCUUUGACUACUGAAUUUCUUAAAAGCCACUCUGCAUUGUGCAGACAAGUGCCUUGGUCCUACUGGGAACUGCACAUCUCUAACAGCUGUUAUCAGUUAUUCCAACUGAGUAAAUAAGAGCUGUUAUCAGUUAUUCCAACUGAGUAAAAUAAUUAUUAAGGAAAAGAGGAACCAGUUAAACCAAACAACUUUUGCCUGAUGUUUUCCUCAGCAAUGAGUUGGGAGCUCAGCAGCAACGCCUUCAGACAGGCACAGUGUCUGAUAUAAACUAUAUCUGGGCACACAUAAAAAAUGUUAUAUAUAAAUGGAUAGCUAUAUGCCCUAAUAUAUAAUACAUAUUUAUAUUACAGAGUUACGUAAGGUAUAAAUAUCUGCCCUAUAUAUAACCACAAAUAUUUUUUAUCACAAACUACCUCUAACUUACCCCCUGACGCCUGACGCUAGGGAUGUAACAUUUUAGGGAUCCUAAAAUCAAACAUAUGCAGGAAAAUAAACCAGGAUUUUAUGCCAUUAAUUCCAAGAUGUUUUCCUGGAUGUGUACUGCUGCGUCUAUUUUUCUGUAAGAUCUUGUGCCUUAUCCCUGAAGUGCACUCAGAAUUGUCAGGAUCAUGAAAUCCAUUUGGGAUUUUACUGUUGCUGCAGUAUCCAGUGAGAUGAGUUUUUUCAAAAUUAUUUCUCUGGGACCGAGCACAUCUCCUCAAGUUCCUUCUCACUUUCUGCAUCCUGGAAAUGCAAAAAGGGAAAAGAUAAAUGUGCAGCUCAACUGAAACAAAUAAAAAGCAUCAUUUCCCUUCCUUCUCUCCAACCCCAAAUCAGUUUUUAAGCAUAUCAUGGCAUCUUGGAAUGGUUUGGGUUGGAAGGAGUCUGGAAGCGCAUCCAGUUCCGCUCGCUUCCACUGGACCAGGCUGCUCCAAGCCCCGUCCAAGCGUGAGUCUGAAAAACCCCAAACAAGUCCCAGAUCUAGACAGCCCACUGGAAGAAAACCCAAAAUUAAUUAGAACAGCAGAGCCUGGCUUUAGUCUGGCACUUCUUCUUGACAGCACGCAGAGCUGAACGGAGUGGUCAGGGCACACUCGAGGGCAAACUGGGAGAAAUCACGGGGGGGUCUGGACAAUGUCCUGGCGGGGCGGGAUCUGCCCUGGGAUGGAGACCCAGCGCCGCCACCGAGCGCCGUCCCGCUCGCCCCCCCCCUCCGGCCCCAGGGUGGGUCGGUCCCCGCAGCGCGCGCCCCUUCGGCCGGGCUCGCCCACUCUCCGUGAAGAGGGGCGGGAGAGGGGGCUAAGCAGAAGCUGCGGAGACAGGAU